AGCGGCGGACGGGUGAGUAACGCGUGGGUAACCUGCCUCAUACAGGGGGAUAACAGUUGGAAACGGCUGCUAAUACCGCAUAAGCGCACAGUACCGCAUGGUACGGUGUGAAAAACUCCGGUGGUAUGAGAUGGACCCGCGUCUGAUUAGCUAGUUGGUGGGGUAACGGCCUACCAAGGUGACGAUCAGUAGCCGACCUGAGAGGGUGACCGGCCACAUUGGGACUGAGACACGGCCCAA
Molecule: ribosomal RNA, 240 nt
Filed under: uncultured bacterium
Lineage: Bacteria
Description: partial 16S ribosomal RNA
Rfam family: Bacterial small subunit ribosomal RNA
Source: RNAcentral